This 4689-nucleotide small RNA is filed under the name Pongo abelii (Sumatran orangutan). RNAcentral's name for it is "retained intron". The stretch from base 246 to 317 matches the Rfam family "mir-1306 microRNA precursor family". Lineage: Eukaryota; Metazoa; Chordata; Mammalia; Primates; Hominidae. The record is from RNAcentral.
AUGUGGCCAGCUUGACUAAGCCGCCAGCACACAGCGCGGCAGGACGCGCCCGGGUCUCAGCGGACUUGUGCAUGUUAGCUGUGUAGAUUUAUGUGAGGGCUUGUAAAACUCUGGUCUUGUAAACUAGUCUUAAGCGCUUUUAAUAUGGAGACAGAUGAGAGCCCCUCUCCGCUCCCGUGUGGGCCCGCAGGAGAAGCGGUGAUGGAGAGCCGAGCUCGCCCCUUCCAAGCGCUGCCCCGUGAGCAGUCUCCACCACCUCCCCUGCAAACGUCCAGUGGUGCAGAGGUAAUGGACGUUGGCUCUGGUGGUGAUGGACAGUCCGAACUCCCUGCCGAGGACCCCUUCAACUUCUACGGAGCUUCUCUUCUCUCCAAAGGAUCCUUCUCUAAGGGCCGCCUCCUCAUAGACCCGAACUGUAGUGGCCACAGCCCGCGCACCGCCCGGCACGCACCUGCGGUCCGGAAGUUCUCCCCUGACCUUAAGUUGCUUAAGGAUGUAAAGAUUAGCGUGAGCUUUACCGAGAGCUGCAGGAGUAAGGACAGGAAGGUGCUGUACACAGGAGCAGAGCGCGACGUGCGGGCGGAGUGCGGUCUGCUCCUUAGCCCUGUCAGUGGGGACGUGCAUGCUUGUCCCUUUGGCGGGAGUGUUGGUGACGGGGUAGGCAUAGGGGGUGAGAGUGCUGAUAAGAAGGAUGAGGAGAAUGAGCUGGAUCAGGAAAAGAGAGUGGAGUAUGCAGUGCUCGAUGAGUUAGAAGAUUUUACUGACAAUUUGGAGCUAGAUGAAGAAGGAGCAGGCGGGUUCACGGCUAAAGCAAUCGUUCAGAGAGACAGAGUGGAUGAAGAGGCCUUGAAUUUCCCCUACGAGGUAUGUUGGCAGCCCCUCCUCUGGAGGGCUCUUAGCAAAACCCAAAGAGAGAUUUGGGAAUUGCGGCAUCUUUUGAAAGCAGGGAAAUUAAAAAAAAAAAACAAAACCAAAAUCCCCUCUGAUGUGGAAUAAUGUUAAUGUGGAGAAGAGAAAGAUGUAAGGAGUCCAGAUUUUUAAAGUUUCCUAAUGAAAAAUUUGGCCCAUGGGUAGGCCCUGCACCCCUGAUCCAGCGCGUGGGGCAGCAGGUGCUGCUGAGAUACGCUCCUUGGCAGUGUGUGCCCCUGGAUCAGGUGUGUUGGUGUCAGCUGGUAGCUUCAUCCCGUUUGUUUUUCAGAUGAUCAUGCACCCUAAGGGCACAUCUAGGCCCCCUGAGAGCACUUCCUUUCUGUGUCUGUUCUCAGGAAUGCUGUUGAGCUCUGCUGUUGCAGGAGCAUGAGCGCCAGGGGCUUUGGUGUCUGAACAGCGUGUUUUGCAGGAUGACUUUGACAACGAUGUGGAUGCUCUGCUGGAAGAAGGCCUUUGUGCCCCCAAAAAGAGGCGAACAGAGGAAAAAUAUGGCGGAGACAGCGACCAUCCGUCAGAUGGAGAGACGAGUGUGCAGCCGAUGAUGACCAAGAUUAAAACAGUGCUCAAAAGUCGUGGCCGCCCACCUACAGAGCCGCUGCCCGACGGGUGGAUCAUGACAUUCCAUAACUCUGGAGUCCCAGUGUACCUACACAGAGAGUCUCGGGUGGUCACCUGGUCCAGGCCAUACUUCUUGGGAACGGGAAGCAUACGGAAACACGACCCUCCUCUGAGUAGCAUCCCUUGUCUGCAUUAUAAGAAAAUGAAGGACAACGAGGAACGGGAGCAAAGCAGUGACCUCACUCCUAGUGGGAAUGUGUCCCCUGUCAAGCCCCUGAGCCGAUCUGCAGAGCUGGAGUUUCCCCUGGAUGAGCCUGACUCUAUGGGUGCUGACCCGGGGCCCCCGGACGAGAAAGACCCACUAGGGGCUGAGGCAGCCCCUGGGGCCCUGGGGCAGGUGAAGGCCAAAGUUGAGGUGUGCAAAGACGAAUCUGUUGAUCUCGAGGAAUUUCGAAGCUACCUGGAGAAGCGUUUUGACUUUGAGCAAGUUACUGUGAAAAAAUUCAGGACUUGGGCUGAGCGGCGGCAAUUCAAUCGGGAAAUGAAGCGGAAGCAGGCGGAGUCCGAGAGGCCCAUCUUGCCAGCCAAUCAGAAGCUCAUUACUUUAUCAGUGCAAGAUGCACCCACAAAGAAAGAGUUUGUUAUUAACCCCAACGGGAAAUCCGAGGUCUGCAUCCUGCACGAGUACAUGCAGCGUGUCCUCAAGGUCCGCCCUGUCUAUAAUUUCUUUGAAUGUGAGAACCCAAGUGAGCCUUUUGGUGCCUCGGUGACCAUUGAUGGUGUGACUUACGGAUCUGGAACUGCAAGCAGCAAAAAACUUGCGAAGAAUAAAGCUGCCCGAGCUACACUGGAAAUCCUCAUCCCUGACUUUGUUAAACAGACCUCUGAAGAGAAGCCCAAAGACAGUGAAGAACUUGAGUAUUUUAACCACAUCAGCAUCGAGGACUCGCGGGUCUACGAGCUGACCAGCAAGGCUGGGCUGUUGUCUCCGUAUCAGAUCCUCCACGAGUGCCUUAAAAGAAACCAUGGGAUGGGUGACACGUCUAUCAAGUUUGAAGUGGUUCCUGGGAAAAACCAGAAGAGUGAAUACGUCAUGGCGUGUGGCAAGCACACAGUAAGAACAAGAGAGUUGGAAAGCAGUUAGCCUCACAGAAGAUCCUUCAGCUGCUGCACCCACAUGUCAAGAACUGGGGGUCUUUACUGCGCAUGUACGGCCGUGAGAGCAGCAAGAUGGUCAAGCAGGAGACGUCGGACAAGAGUGUGAUUGAGCUGCAGCAGUAUGCCAAGAAGAACAAGCCCAACCUGCACAUCCUCAGCAAGCUCCAAGAGGAGAUGAAGAGGCUAGCUGAGGAGAGGGAGGAGACUCGAAAGAAGCCCAAGAUGUCCAUUGUGGCGUCCGCCCAGCCUGGCGGUGAGCCCCUGUGCACCGUGGACGUGUGAGGGAGAUGGCACGGGCCAGGGCGCGGGGGCCGCCAGCGGCACUUCUGAGGAGACCAGCAGUCAUGCAUCGUGCACCACAGUGUCAGGCCUCCAACCCAAGCUCCUUCCCUGUGGCCAACCUGUGGGCCCGGCCUUAGGGUGGAGGCUCUGGUGUACAGGGACAGCCAUGGCCACACAGCACACAUGUGGAGCAGCGGCUCUCCCCGGAAAGCUCCAGGCCUGAAUGGAUGGACUCAGCGACUGCACCAGUGGCAGCUGGUGACUGUGGACAGUGGUGGACCCUGCUUCUGUGCACCUGCUGCAGGCUCUUUUUAUGAAGGCUUUCAUGAAUUUUAGUAUGUAAUAUGCACUGACGACACAUGAUGCUUGGAUGACAGAUGAGAGGGGGAUGGCUGAGUCCUGUGGCUGGUCCGUGAUGCCAGGUGGCCCAUGUGCCCAGGGCGCCUGCGGAGCUGCUGCAGGGACCUGGUCAGGAGGUGCACAUGGUACCCUGCCCUCACCCACCCUCUGUGUUUCCCCUUCUUUGAAAAGGUAGGACAGAAAGGAAUAUUUUAAACCUUUUUGGCUUAAACAGAAUUUUAGCAUCAGAACUACCUUUCUGGGAUUGGAAGCAAACCAUCAAGGUGGUCCCUCUCUAGUCUGGACACCAUGCCAGCAAGGAUGACGUCCUGCCACCUCCCGGAGUUGCCCUGGCCUCCUAGGGCCCCUUUUUCUGAUGAAGUCUUAAUGCCCUAAAAGCGCCUCUCUGGACACUGAGGCCCUCCCUGCCUUUCCUGGCCUCCGGCAACAGUUUUUUACAAAGAUUUUUUGCAGUCGAGUCCAUAUGUCCACCCAUUGAUUUUUAAACCUUUUGUGAUAUUUUAGCAUUUUGAAAGACUUUUACAGUGAGAGUAGAAGGUAGAUUUGGAAUCAUGCAUUUUAGCAAGUGGACUUGUUUUAACAGGAAGCAAAGGCCUUCAGUGUAGCCUAUUCUUGAUCCAGAGCUGUUGCCUGUGGCAGCGGCUUCUCUGGAUGUCAAAGGCAGCUGCCUGGUGCCCAGCUUGCUUCUUGACUGGUGGCCCCUGUGGGUGGGUGUGGGAUGGAAAUGUGUUCCUGCCUGAGUCUGAGGCACCAGGGUGUGCUCAAAGGCUGGCCCUGGUGGUGGAUUGGCACCUGUGCAGAGUGCCAUGUGCUUGUGGUGUGCCAUCCGAAGCAAGAGUCCAGCAUUCUGCCGUGUCUGUCCCCCACUCUGCCCCCCACAGGCGGUACUGAUGGCGCCUUUUUUUUUUUGGUCAGGAAAACAAUGUUGGCCUGUGGGCCGCCCACAACAUAUCCUUCCCUCACUACCUGUGUGACCAAGGUUGGCUUCUGUUGACCUUUAAAAAAGAAACCCUCUACUCAAAUUGCUAUAAUUAGACACUUGCUUCUGUCUUGCCUCCUGUCUGCAGCUGUGAAUAGUCAUUUGACCGUGACUGUUGCCCUUAGCCAGCCAGAUGCGCCUGUGAACCAGAGCUUCGUGCACAUGUGUUCCCCUAAAGGUUGGGGAGCCUCGCUGUGUCUUGCUGUUCCCAGGCACCACCACAGCAGGUGCUGCCAUACUCUUGUGGUCUCUGUGCCCCCUCCCCCGCCUACCCGUCUGCCAAGCGUGGGUGUGAAUUAUGUGCACACAGCCGUGCUUCAAGGCCGGGGCAGGGGAGCCUGUGCUGAUGCCAUCUAGGGCACUGGGCUGUGCCUGGAAGGUGAGCCUCGAUUGUCUGAACACAUAAAGCAAACUGUCCAGAA